Molecule: ribosomal RNA, 303 nt
Filed under: uncultured fungus
Lineage: Eukaryota; Fungi
Description: eukaryotic LSU rRNA
Source: RNAcentral
UUUGAAAGGGAAACGAUUGAAGUCAGUCGUACCGACGAGAAAUCAGCUCUUUGAGUGUGAACUUGUGAGCGUGCUUGAGUCUUUAACGGGUCUUGCUGUUUGCAAUGUUUGUGCUUUUUGGGUGUUCUUUUUCGUAUGGUUGGCCAAUAUCAGUUUCGAUCAUCAUAAAAUGAUCAGAGGAAUGUAGCUUCGAUCUCGUAUUGAAGUGUUAUAGCCUUUGGUAGAUGUGGUAAUUGAAACUGAGGAUUGCAACGAAUACCUUUUGGGCUAUCCGUCUGGCCUCUGAAAGUUGCCUAGGUUGCC